RNAcentral lists this transfer RNA (75 nucleotides) under bacterium. RNAcentral's name for it is "tRNA-Asn". It matches the Rfam family "tRNA". Rfam says of the family: Transfer RNA (tRNA) molecules are approximately 80 nucleotides in length. RNAcentral also lists the same sequence under 5 other names. The record is from RNAcentral.
UCCAGAGUAGCUCAAUGGUAGAGCAAUCGGCUGUUAACCGAUCGGUUGUUGGUUCGAGUCCAACCUCUGGAGCCA